RNAcentral lists this ribosomal RNA (947 nucleotides) under Russula sp. RNAcentral's name for it is "partial large subunit ribosomal RNA". It matches the Rfam family "Eukaryotic large subunit ribosomal RNA", at positions 1 to 943 of the family's 3401-position model. Lineage: Eukaryota; Fungi; Basidiomycota; Agaricomycetes; Russulales; Russulaceae. The record is from RNAcentral.
AUCUCCCCCCCGGAAAUGUUUUUCUUCAUAGCGAGGAAAGAAACUAACAAGGAUUCCCCUAGUAACUGCGAGUGAAGCGGGAAAAGCUCAAAUUUAAAAUCUGGUGGUCUUUGGCCAUCCGAGUUGUAAUUUAGAGAAGCGUCUUCCGCGCUGGACCGUGCACAAGUCUCCUGGAAUGGAGCGUCAUAGAGGGUGAGAAUCCCGUCUUUGGCACGGACGCACCAGGGCUUCUGUGAUGCGCUCUCGACGAGUCGAGUUGUUUGGGAAUGCAGCUCAAAAUGGGUGGUGAACUCCAUCUAAAGCUAAAUAUUGGCGAGAGACCGAUAGCGAACAAGUACCGUGAGGGAAAGAUGAAAAGCACUUUGGAAAGAGAGUGAAACAGUACGUGAAAUUGUUGAAAGGGAAACGCUUGAAGUCAGUCGCGUCGAUCGAGACUCAGCCUUGCCCUCGGCUUGGUGUACUUCUCGGCUCGACGGGUCAGCAUCAAUUUUGAUCCUUGGAUAAUGGCGAGGGAAAUGUGACACCUUUUUAGGUGUGUUAUAGUCUCUCGUCGCAUGCAAGGGUCAGGAUUGAGGAACUCAGCAUGCACCUUCGGGUGUCGGGGCCUUGGCCCACGUUACGUGCUUAGGAUGCUGGCAUAAUGGCUUUAAACGACCCGUCUUGAAACACGGACCAAGGAGUCUAACAUACCCGCGAGUGUUCGGGUGGAAAACCCGUGCGCGUAAUGAAAGUGAAAGUUGGGACCUCUGUCGUGGAGGGCACCGACGCCCGGACCAGAGCUUCUGUGACGGAUCUGCGGUAGAGCGUGUAUGUUGGGACCCGAAAGAUGGUGAACUAUGCCUGAAUAGGGUGAAGCCAGAGGAAACUCUGGUGGAGGCUCGUAGCGAUUCUGACGUGCAAAUCGAUCGUCAAAUUUGGGUAUAGGGGCGAAAGACUAAUCGAACCAU